UAGGGAAUCUUCGGCAAUGGACGGAAGUCUGACCGAGCAACGCCGCGUGAGUGAAGAAGGUUUUCGGAUCGUAAAGCUCUGUUGUAAGAGAAGAACGAGUGUGAGAGUGGAAAGUUCACACUGUGACGGUAUCUUACCAGAAAGGGACGGCUAACUACGUGCCAGCAGCCGCGGUAAUACGUAGGUCCCGAGCGUUGUCCGGAUUUAUUGGGCGUAAAGCGAGCGCAGGUGGUUAGAUAAGUCUGAAGUGAAAGGCAGUGGCUCAACCAUUGUAGGCUUUGGAAACUGUUUAACUUGAGUGCAGAAGGGGAGAGUGGAAUUCCAUGUGUAGCGGUGAAAUGCGUAGAUAUAUGGAGGAACACCGGUGGCGAAAGCGGCUCUCUGGUCUGUAACUGACGCUGAGGCUCGAAAGCGUGGGGAGCGAACAGGAUUAGAUACCCUGGUAGUCCACGCCGUAAACGAUGAGUGCUAGGUGUUAGACCCUUUCCGGGGUUUAGUGCCGUAGCUAACGCAUUAAGCACUCCGCCUGGGGAGUACGACCGCAAGGUUG
RNAcentral lists this ribosomal RNA (550 nucleotides) under uncultured bacterium. RNAcentral's name for it is "bacterial SSU rRNA". It matches the Rfam family "Bacterial small subunit ribosomal RNA", at positions 355 to 896 of the family's 1533-position model. The record is from RNAcentral.